ACCAGUGACACCAGUGUCACCAGUGUCCCCAGUCCCAGUAUCCCCAGUUCCAUCCCAGUAUCCCCAGUUCCAUCCCAGUUCCAUCCCAGUUCCCUCCCAGUUCCUUCCCAGUUCCGUCCCAGUUCCAUCCCAGUUCCCUCCCAGUAUCCCCAGUUCCAUCCCAGUUCCAUCCCAGUUCCCUCCCAGUAUCCCCAGUUCCAUCCCAGUUCCCUCCCAGUAUCCCCAGUUCUCUCCCAGUAUCCCCAGUUCCGUCCCAGUUCCAUCCCAGUUCCAUCCCAGUAUCCCCAGUUCCCUCCCAGUAUCCCCAGUUCCAUCCCAGUUUCACCAGUUCCAUCCCAGUUCCA
RNAcentral lists this long non-coding RNA (344 nucleotides) under Numida meleagris (helmeted guineafowl). RNAcentral's name for it is "lncRNA (ENSNMEG00000004130.1)". Lineage: Eukaryota; Metazoa; Chordata; Aves; Galliformes; Numididae. The record is from RNAcentral.